This 467-nucleotide ribosomal RNA is filed under the name uncultured bacterium. RNAcentral describes it as "partial 16S ribosomal RNA". It matches the Rfam family "Bacterial small subunit ribosomal RNA", at positions 28 to 507 of the family's 1533-position model. The record is from RNAcentral.
GACGAACGCUGGCGGCGUGCUUAACACAUGCAAGUCGAACGGAAAGGCCCUGCUUUUGUUGGGUUCUCGAGUGGCGAACGGGUGAGUAACACGUGAGUAACCUGCCCUUGACUUUGGGAUAACUUCAGGAAACUGGGGCUAAUACCGGAGAGGAUCUCCUGCUGCAUGGUGGUGGUUGGAAAGUUUCGGCGGUUGGGGAUGGACUCGCGGCUUAUCAGCUUGUUGGUGGGGUAGUGGCUACCAAGGCUUUGACGGGUAGCCGGCCUGAGAGGGUGACCGGCCACAUUGGGACUGAGAUACGGCCCAGACUCCUACGGGAGGCAGCAGUGGGGAAUAUUGCACAAUGGGCGGAAGCCUGAUGCAGCAACGCCGCGUGCGGGAUGACGGCCUUCGGGUUGUAAACCGCUUUCGACUGUGACGAAGCGUGAGUGACGGUAAUGGGUAAAGAAGCAACGGCUAACUACGUG